UUGGGUGACUAUACUAAAGGUGUUCCACCCGUUCCCAUUCCGAACACGGAAGUGAAAUCCUUUGAGGCCGAUGAUAGUGUUUUUACGCGAAAGUAGGUAGUCGCCUGAU
Molecule: ribosomal RNA, 109 nt
Filed under: Patescibacteria group bacterium
Lineage: Bacteria
Source: RNAcentral